UGAUCGACAAUUUUAGAAUUCGAUUUAGAUCGAUAAGAUAUUACGCAUAUGUACACGAAAGUAUGAAAUAAUACUUUUGACCCACCGCUAGAUGUCGCAUCUCUCUCGCAAGAAAAAGUUAUUGCAGACAAGUUAUGUACCGAGUAGAAUUUGGGUUUGCAUUCGAAGACUGAUCUCACCCUUUGGAUACGAGCUAGUCGAAUAUAGAAAAGGCAUGGAUUCAAAUGGCCGGAGCUCCAAGUCAACUAGCCAUUGCAGUAAAGUGAAUUGGGGACUUGUUGUAUGAAAAGCUACUGAGACAGCACAAAACUUAAGGUUGGCUGAAGGAUGUCUUAUACGCCAUUUUCUAAAUCCUAAAAGAUAUUUUCACGCCUGAAAAAUGUCCUUGGAGCCUUACCGAAAAAAAUACAAAUUUUUGUGAAAAUCUGCAAGCCUUUAUAAAAAUCCUUUUCACCAGGGCAGUGCAGCAGCCGUGGAUCAGUUCGAGCGAGUUGAUCAAUCUGUAACUACUAAAUCACCUGUUUCCUAAAAGCAUAGUCGACCCUGAAUCCCCCAUGCAAGAGCAGUGUCGAGUGGUUCUGAGUGGCGGAUUUCCUCUUUGCGUGGGAUGAUCUAGACUCCGGAAGAGUCAGGGACUCGAUAUAUUAUUACCGCAAGAGUUAAGCGAGCUGCAACGCUAUUGCAGGACCUAUACCAACGCGCAUGCUAUUAAUACUCGUAUAACUAUCCGGAUGAUUAUAUAAUGUGGAUCAAUUUGCGCUACAGCGAUUCGCUUGUUCUUUUGUCAACAUCGGUAUUGGGUAUAACGUGGUUCGCAUUCGCUGCGAUGGCAAAUAUGAAGAAUUUCGAGUCAUUGAGAGUGAAGUUCGUAAAGUUAACGUAACGAUUCAUUUUUGGGAAAGAUCAUUAUUUCGCAAACGGACGAUUCUCUCAAUUGAUUGACUCGUCUAUUUUUAAAACGAAAAAUUUAUUCAGAUUUUGAAAAUUAAACUUCUUUAAAGUUGUUCUAAAGUUUUAUAACGGUGAUUAUUAGUUUCAAUAUUUCGUUAACUUCGAUCUAAUGAGAAAUUUGCAAUUGUGGGAUCUUUGGGAUCCUCGAAUGUUUUCAGGAUUUUUUUUUUUUUGAUCGAACAGUUGAUAAUUUGUUGUUGGUGGAACA
RNAcentral lists this long non-coding RNA (1159 nucleotides) under Neodiprion lecontei (redheaded pine sawfly). Its description in RNAcentral is "uncharacterized LOC124295518, transcript variant X1". The record is from RNAcentral. Lineage: Eukaryota; Metazoa; Arthropoda; Insecta; Hymenoptera; Diprionidae.